Molecule: ribosomal RNA, 506 nt
Filed under: uncultured bacterium
Lineage: Bacteria
Description: partial 16S ribosomal RNA
Rfam family: Bacterial small subunit ribosomal RNA
Source: RNAcentral
GGUGAACGCUGGCGGUAGGCCUAACACAUGCAAGUCGAACGGCAGCACAGAGGAGCUUGCUCCUUGGGUGGCGAGUGGCGGACGGGUGAGGAAUACAUCGGAAUCUACUCUGUCGUGGGGGAUAACGUAGGGAAACUUACGCUAAUACCGCAUACGACCUACGGGUGAAAGCAGGGGAUCUUCGGACCUUGCGCGAUUGAAUGAGCCGAUGUCGGAUUAGCUAGUUGGCGGGGUAAAGGCCCACCAAGGCGACGAUCCGUAGCCGGUCUGAGAGGAUGAUCAGCCACACUGGAACUGGGACACGGUCCAGACUCCUACGGGAGGCAGCAGUGGGGAAUAUUGGACAAUGGGCGCAAGCCUGAUCCAGCCAUACCGCGUGGGUGAAGAAGGCCUUCGGGUUGUAAAGCCCUUUUGUUGGGAAAGAAAUCCAUCUGGUUAAUACCCGGGUGGGAUGACGGUACCCAAAGAAUAAGCACCGGCUAACUUCGUGCCAGCCGCCGCCGUAA